Long non-coding RNA from Salvelinus namaycush (lake trout), 1246 nucleotides. RefSeq lists it as uncharacterized. The transcript is spliced from 3 exons. NCBI's taxonomy places the organism in Eukaryota, Metazoa, Chordata, Actinopteri, Salmoniformes, Salmonidae. The record is from RefSeq and is a predicted model, not a curated record.
ACACGCUUGGCAUUCUCUCAACCAGCUUCAGCUGGAAUGUAUUUUCCAACAGUACCAAACUUUUGACUGGUACUGUAUAUACAAAAAAAUGAAAUCAGCUUUUUUUGUGACAUCUCUUUCUGUGCUGACCGAAGACAUUACAUUUUUCACAUUGUUCCUCUUCAUCAGGGACUGGUUUAGACCUGGGACACCAGGUGGGUGAUAUGAAUUACCAGGUAGAAGAGGACUGGUUUAGACCUGGGACACCAGGUGGGUGAUAUGAAUUACCAGGUAGAAGAGGACUGGUUUAGACCUGGGACACCAGGUGGGUGAUAUGAAUUACCAGGUAGAAGAGGACUGGUUUAGACCUGGGACACCAGGUAGAAGAGGACUGGUUUAGACCUGGGACACCAGGUAGAAGAGGACUGGUUUAGACCUGGGACACCAGGUGGGUGAUGUGAAUUACCAGGUAGAAGAGGACUGGUUUAGACCUGGGACACCAGGUGGAUGAUAUGAAUUACCAGGUAGAAGAGGACUGGUUUAGACCUGGGACACCAGGUAGAAGAGGACUGGUUUAGACCUGGGACACCAGGUGGGUGAUGUGAAUUACCAGGUAGAAGAGGACUGGUUUAGACCUGGGACACCAGGUGGAUGAUAUGAAUUACCAGGUAGAAGAGGACUGGUUUAGACCUGGGACACCAGGUGAGUGAUAUGAAUUACCAGGUAGAAGAGGACUGGUUUAGACCUGGGACACCAGGUGGGUGAUAUGAAUUACCAGGUAGAAGAGGACUGGUUUAGACCUGGGACACCAGGUGGAUGAUAUGAAUUACCAGGUAGAAGAGGACUGGUUUAGACCUGGGACACCAGGUGGGUGAUAUGAAUUACCAGGUAGAAGAGGACUGGUUUAGACCUGGGACACCAGGUGGGUGAUAUGAAUUACCAGGUAGAAGAGGACUGGUUUAGACCUGGGACACCAGGUGGGUGAUAUGAAUUACCAGGUAGAAGAGGACUGGUUUAGACCUGGGACACCAGGUAGAAGAGGACUGGUUUAGACCUGGGACACCAGGUAGAAGAGGACUGGUUUAGACCUGGGACACCAGGUGGGUGAUGUGAAUUACCAGGUAGAAGAGGUCUGGUUUAGACCUGGGACACCAGGUGGAUGAUAUGAAUUACCAGGUAGAAGAGGAAACCAGCAGCCUCUGAACCUGGUAAGGGGUAAGAGUUGAAUAUCUCUGUUCUAAUAAAAGGUUCACCUCUCGUCUGUUCG